RNAcentral lists this ribosomal RNA (781 nucleotides) under uncultured Neocallimastigales. RNAcentral's name for it is "partial large subunit ribosomal RNA". It matches the Rfam family "Eukaryotic large subunit ribosomal RNA", at positions 19 to 646 of the family's 3401-position model. Lineage: Eukaryota; Fungi; Neocallimastigomycota; Neocallimastigomycetes; Neocallimastigales. The record is from RNAcentral.
CGAGCACGCGCGUGUGGCAUAUCAAUAAGCGGAGGAAAAGGAAACUAACAAGGAUUCCCCUAGUAACGGCGAGUGAAGCGGGAAGAGCUCAAAUUUGAAAUCUUCAAGGUUUUACCUUGACGAAUUGUAGUUUAUAGAAGUGUUUUCUGUUAGUGGAGUGGUAAAAGUUCUUUGGAAUAGGACAUCAUAGAGGGUGAGAAUCCCGUAUUUGGACCAUUCCUUCCUAGCGUUGUGAUUACACUUUCAACGAGUCGGAUUGUUUGGGAAUGCAGUCCAAAAUGGGUGGUAAAUUUCAUCUAAAGCUAAAUAUUGGCGAGAGACCGAUAGCGAACAAGUACCGUGAGGGAAAGAUGAAAAGAACUUUGAAAAGAGAGUUAAACAGCUACGUGAAAUUGUCAAAAGGGAAGCGUUUGACACCAGUGUUGUUUUUCCGAAAAUCAAUUACGAAUGUUUUGUUUUUGAGGAGUUAUGACUUCAUCGGCUUGCUUCCUUUCUUUACGAAACUUUCUUAAUGCACUUUUCGGUUAACAAGUCAACAUCAAUUUCUUUUGUUGUAAAAGGGUAUGAGGAAGGCGGCUUUCUUUUCGGAGAAAGUGUUUAUAGCCUUGUAGCCUCUGCAAUCGGAGAGAUUGAGGUCUGCAGCGUAGAUCCUUCGGGGUUAGAUACAUUUGUGCUAAGUUAUAGCUUUUCAUAGACAACUUGUUGACUAUGUUUAGUCUUGUAGCUUACUCGCUUAUGCUAUUUUACCUACGCUUAGGAUGUUGAUGUGAUACUGCGAGCA